Molecule: non-coding RNA, 193 nt
Filed under: Pontibacillus halophilus JSM 076056 = DSM 19796
Lineage: Bacteria; Bacillati; Bacillota; Bacilli; Caryophanales; Bacillaceae
Description: 6S / SsrS RNA
Rfam family: 6S / SsrS RNA
About the family: E. coli 6S RNA was the first non coding RNA to be sequenced, but its function was unknown until recently. It consists of 184 nucleotides that fold into an extended hairpin structure with a large single-stranded internal bulge.
Source: Rfam by way of RNAcentral
UUAAUCCUGAUGUGUUCGUCAUCAAGCUAAUAGUUCUGACCGAACAUCUAUAUAUCCGGGAGCUCGGUGUUUUCGUACAGCGUGCAAGCCUCGUUUCAAUCAAGAGGACGCACAAACUACGAAACAGAGCACCCACCUGCUUAGAGCGGGUUCAGGACAUUGGAUAUAAUAUGACGGCACGAUUGGGAUUAAC